GGGGACGAUUUUGGUUUCGACGGGGAUAAAAACAUCUUAUGUAAAGCAUGUGGUGGCUCCCAAACACCUUAAACUUGAGAGAGCGAAUUAAACGCAGAAAAAAAUGACAAUGUUGCUUUGGCUUACGCUGCGUAAGUUUAAAACAACGACCUGAUUGAUAAAUUUUCAAUCUGCUCACCUUUGAAUGCCUGACAAAGAGUUUGAGUAUCAUCCAAGGCAAAAUUUUUGUAGCAAGUGUCCUUUGUAGUUACAAAAAAAAUUGAAAGGAUUGAAUUUGAAACCUGUCUGUGGGUUAAUCAAAUUUGAAAUUCAAACAUAGACUAAACAUGUAGAAAGAUAUUAUGUUUUGUUUUCGGACGAGGGUUCAAUUCCCUCCGUCUCCACCA
RNAcentral lists this transfer-messenger RNA (386 nucleotides) under Clostridia bacterium. It matches the Rfam family "transfer-messenger RNA". From Rfam's summary of the family: Bacterial tmRNA, also known as 10Sa RNA or SsrA, is named for its dual tRNA and mRNA-like properties. Its role is to liberate the mRNA from a stalled ribosome. RNAcentral also lists the same sequence under 1 other name. The record is from RNAcentral. Lineage: Bacteria; Bacillati; Bacillota; Clostridia.